Molecule: ribosomal RNA, 497 nt
Filed under: uncultured bacterium
Lineage: Bacteria
Description: partial 16S ribosomal RNA
Rfam family: Bacterial small subunit ribosomal RNA
Source: RNAcentral
GACGAACGCUGGCGGCGUGCCUAAUACAUGCAAGUAGAACGCUGAAGCGAGGAGCUUGCUCUUCUUGGAUGAGUUGCGAACGGGUGAGUAACGCGUAGGUAACCUGCCUGGUAGCGGGGGAUAACUAUUGGAAACGAUAGCUAAUACCGCAUAAAAUUGAUUAUUGCAUGAUAAUUAAUUGAAAGAUGCAAUUGCAUCACUACCAGAUGGACCUGCGUUGUAUUAGCUAGUUGGUGAGGUAACGGCUCACCAAGGCGACGAUACAUAGCCGACCUGAGAGGGUGAUCGGCCACACUGGGACUGAGACACGGCCCAGACGCCUACGGGAGGCAGCAGUAGGGAAUCUUCGGCAAUGGGGGGAACCCUGACCGAGCAACGCCGCGUGAGUGAAGAAGGUUUUCGGAUCGUAAAGCUCUGUUGUAAGAGAAGAACGGGUGUGAGAGUGGAAAGUUCACACUGUGACGGUAUCUUACCAGAAAGGGACGGCUAACUACGUG